This 415-nucleotide ribosomal RNA is filed under the name uncultured eukaryote. RNAcentral's name for it is "bacterial SSU rRNA". It matches the Rfam family "Eukaryotic small subunit ribosomal RNA", at positions 592 to 1013 of the family's 1831-position model. The record is from RNAcentral.
CAAUAGCGUAUAUUAAAGUUGUUGCGGUAAAAAGCUCGUAGUUGGAUUUCUGUCAAGGGGGGAUCGGUCCGCACCAUGUGCGCGUAUCUGGUUCGACCUCGGCAUCCUCUCGGAAACGUUUCUGCGCUUGAUUGCGUGGAGCGGGGUUCGGGACUUUUACUUUGAGGAAAUUAGAGUGUUCACGGCAGGCUAACGCCAGAAUACAUUAGCAUGGAAUAAUACUAUAGGAUCUUGAUUCUAUUUUGUUGGUUUCUAGGAUUGAGAUAAUGAUUAAUAGGGACAAUUGGGGCGAUUCGUAUCAACACGUCAGAGGUGGAAUUCUUGGAUUGUGUUGCGACGAACUACUGCGAAAGCAUUUGCCAAGGAUGUUUUCAUUGAUCAAGAACGAAAGUAAGGGGAUCGAAGAUGAUUAGAU